GUUGAUUCCACUAGGAACUGGAUCUGAUUUUGCAAGAACUUUUGGUUGGAAGAACGACCCUAAUCAAGCUAUUGAUUGCAUUGCUAAAGGACUGAAGAAAUACACAGAUGUUGGUGUGACUAGUCAACUAAGUUCCAAACAUCAUUACUUCUUGAAUGUUGCAGAUGUUCACUUAAGUGCAAAGGCCGGCUAUUAUGCUUCCAUGUAAAAAAAAUUUGGCAAUCUAUGUUAUGUUUUUGGUGCUAUGAGAGGUUUCAUUGGGCACAAAAACCGUGAUCUGAGGAUAAGGGUUGGUAACAUGUCUGAUAAUACUCACGUAGUCUGUAGUCUCAGUUAUUUAUGUACACUACGUUGUAUAAUUGUAUUUUUGUGCACUGUAGAUUGAUGCUGGUGAAUGGG
Nymphaea colorata (pocket water lily) is the source of this 399-nucleotide long non-coding RNA. RefSeq lists it as uncharacterized. The record is from RefSeq and is a predicted model, not a curated record. The transcript is spliced from 4 exons. Lineage: Eukaryota; Viridiplantae; Streptophyta; Magnoliopsida; Nymphaeales; Nymphaeaceae.